GAUGAGGUCCACCGGUUCCCAUAUUGGAGCUGGAGAGGGUGGCAUGAGGCACGCAUGGUGCAGAAUGGGUGACUCUAGUCUACGAGGGGAUCAACACUGAAAUUCAAGCGUCUAGUUCCUGGAUAUUCAGGACUGCAAGUCUUGAAUGGUGGAGUAAAGGAACAUAACAGCCCUUAUAGACUAGGUAAGGAGAAAAGAGAGUGAGAGAAUUUGGCAUAGAGGAAGAGGAAGAAGGAAAGAGGGGGAGAGAGAGAGAGAGAGAGAGAGAGAGAGAGAGAGAGAGAGAGAGAUUAUGAAUCACAGGAGAGAGUACUAUUUCUUCUCCAGCAAGCCAAUUUCUUUUGAAGUCAGGCCUGUAAGAGGAGCUAUGAGCCUGAAAAAAACGGGAAAGCUGGAAAGCUGUGUCUGUGGCUGCUGCUGAGCUGGGCUCAGAGAUCAAAAAUAUCGAAAUUUGGACUCAAACAAUGUAGAAGCUGGAGAAUGUGGAGAAGUAUUGUGUAAUACUGUCAUCUGGACAGGGCUUGGACAUUAGAAAAUGGCUUCAGAGUAGCUGUGGCUAUCCACACAAGACCUGCAGAAGCUGAGCUGGUUAAAAGUCCAACAUGAAGGGGCAAGUGAAAUCAUUAGCAGUUGACUGCUACUGAGUUCAGAAGAGUUACUUUGUUUUUUGUUUGUUUGUUUGUUUGAGAGUGUCAUAGCCAGUAGGUUCACCAUAGUCCCACAGAUGACCCGAUAUGACGGGCAUAUGAGCAGCACUCACUGGAUACAGUGGGUUAAGUUUGUUGAAGCCAUAUCCAUGAUUACAAAAGGAGAACAUGACCUUGGGAGGAAGAUGAGAUGUUUUCUGGGUAAGUUAAAGUUGAGGAGUGAGGGGUAAAUAUGACCAAAAUACAUCGCCCAAAUGUAAACAAUUAUGGAAGAAUAAAUAAAAUAUUAAAAUGAAUAAGAAAUCCAGACUAAAUAAAACUGGACAUUCUGGGAAUCAAUAUAAUUGAAAGGAACAUCAAUGAAGCUAUGUCAUAAGAUGGGGAAUAGAUUGCAUCUGUGCUCAAGGCUUUCUUUGUACCAUCAAGUUUCAGAUACUCUCCGCUGAGAGUUCAGGAGGACAACACACAUUUCUAAUAGUAGCGUAAAAAUAGAUUUGAAAACUAUGUGGAAACCAAAAAUAUAUAGUAUAUAUGUUAAGCUGAAGAUGGAUCUGUCAAAAUGUAAUUUCCUGUCAAAAUGUAAUUGGUGACUCAAAACACUACUUAAAGCUGAUAAGUCAGGUAUCUAAAUAUUAUUUGAUGGCUGAACAUAUAUUUAAUCCUAAUUGAAUUAAUUAAACUAAUUGUAAGUUAAUUUUACUGAACACGACUCUGUAGAACAUAGUGCUUGUUUCUUAUUAUGUGAAUAAAGUGUUAAAAGCCAAUAAUUGCUUGUAGAAAAUAAACUUCAUUAUAAGGUGUAAUGAGAUCAAGAAGUAUAUUUUGAUUAGAAAAAAAUGUUUGGGCUUCUGAAAUAAAUGGUGAAUGAAACAUUGAUUUUUCUUUAAUAAUAAAACCAUUCACCCAUUUCUGUGACUAUU
Molecule: long non-coding RNA, 1567 nt
Organism: Mus musculus (house mouse)
Lineage: Eukaryota; Metazoa; Chordata; Mammalia; Rodentia; Muridae
Product: predicted gene, 54041
Exons: 2
Source: RefSeq, a predicted model, not a curated record